Molecule: non-coding RNA, 29 nt
Filed under: Homo sapiens (human)
Lineage: Eukaryota; Metazoa; Chordata; Mammalia; Primates; Hominidae
Source: RNAcentral
UAUGAGGUGCUGUUUCCUGAAGUUAAGAA